RNAcentral lists this long non-coding RNA (633 nucleotides) under Mytilus galloprovincialis (Mediterranean mussel). Lineage: Eukaryota; Metazoa; Mollusca; Bivalvia; Mytilida; Mytilidae. The record is from RNAcentral.
GGGCCAGUAGUUUGACAACAGAAGAUUUUUGUAAAUGUUAAGAAUGACAAUGGUUUCCAAGUGAUGAGAAAAGCUCUUUCAGGUCAAGUGAGCUAAAAAUGGUAAAAAUUGUUAGGCAAUUACAUCUUUCUGCCAUGAAACUUACGGUACAUGUUUUUUCUUUUCUGUCUCUGGAGGUAAUUUUUUUUCUGUGUAUGUUUUUAAAGAUGAAUGGAAAAUAAAAAGUGAAAGUUGGGUGGAAACUGUUAUUUAAGGGCAUUGACCUCUUUACUUUAAAAGGAGUAUUCCAACAUAUUUGGUCAAAAUGGAGAUCAUAUAUGGUAGAUAGAUUUCAACAUUCUUAAUGUUUUUGUCUGAUCAUUCUUUCUUUACUUAGAACAUUCUUCAAUUAUAUAAGACAAUUUCUUUCAUUUCACCCAUAUAAUGUUCUUUUUUUUUACGCCAUAUAGCACCCAGGUUUGUUGACAGACAGGAUCAUUUAACACUUUUUAAAACUAGAUACUCAUAGAAAUAUGGUAGCUAAUUUCUGUGACAAAAGGCCAAGUAGUUUCAGUAGAGAAUUCUUUUGUUAAUAGUAUAAAGAAGUCCAAGUGAUGGCACUAGAUCAUACAAUUGUCCUUUUGGCAAGUAAGC